This is a non-coding RNA of Prunus avium (sweet cherry), 791 nucleotides long. The record is from RefSeq and is a predicted model, not a curated record. Lineage: Eukaryota; Viridiplantae; Streptophyta; Magnoliopsida; Rosales; Rosaceae.
CUUGCAAGGACUUGGUGGCAAUAUCUUGUGGACGUUUCUCAAGGAACAGUGGCUCAAUACCACUCUUCGCACUCUAUAUAUUACAGCCUGUCAGUCUAUAAUUCCUGCCAGGAGAGGAACUUGAACGCUUCUCUUCGCUGCAAAGGCUACAUAUUUGUGGGUGUGACAGUAUCCAAUUCCUGCCAGAAGAGCGUUUGCUGCCAUCUCUUUCUUAUCUGUGCAUCGACCAUUGUUUUGCCUUGUAGAAAAGUCUUUUCGCAGGACAACAUAUCUUCUCUUGGAGAGCUAUUCAUUUGCAAGGUUUCUUUAUGUGUCAUUUCCAGAGGAGGGUUUACUAUUUAAUAUAGCUCUUUGUUUUUCUACGGAACAAUUGUCGCAACAUGGAGAAAUGGAAAGGUUCACCUGGAAUAUCUCAACUGACACAUUCCCAAAUACAGGCAUUGAAUGCAAAACAUUUUGAGAAGCCUACUUUUUGACAUAGGUGGCAUGGCACAAACUUGCUUCCGCAUUUCCUUCGCCAUUGGCACGUUGUCUCAUCCUUUUUAUUCUGUUACCAUCUUGAAGCUUGUGUAGAUGUGUUAUGCUCUUGUAAUUCCGAUCACAAACAUCGCUUGACAAAUGGAAAGUCACAGUUAGAUCUUUCAGGUGGUCUGGAGGAACAGACCAAACAUGUUCAUACGUGGCAUCGCUCAAGUCGUCAUCAUUUGGGACAGAAAAUCAGCCUUCAAUUGUCUGCUGAGUCAAUGAACCUUUCUAGAUAUCUCAAGUGUAACAGAAAUUGAUGAGUUACA